Molecule: ribosomal RNA, 477 nt
Filed under: uncultured organism
Description: partial 16S ribosomal RNA
Rfam family: Bacterial small subunit ribosomal RNA
Source: RNAcentral
ACACUCCUGCGGGAGGCAGCAGUGGGGAAUUUUGGACAAUGGGCGAAAGCCUGAUCCAGCAAUGCCGCGUGAGUGAAGAAGGCCUUCGGGUUGUAAAGCUCUUUUGUCAGGGAAGAAACGGUGAGAGCUAAUAUCUCUUGCUAAUGACGGUACCUGAAGAAUAAGCACCGGCUAACUACGUGCCAGCAGCCGCGGUAAUACGUAGGGUGCAAGCGUUAAUCGGAAUUACUGGGCGUAAAGCGUGCGCAGGCGGUUUUGUAAGUCUGAUGUGAAAUCCCCGGGCUCAACCUGGGAAUUGCAUUGGAGACUGCAAGGCUAGAAUCUGGCAGAGGGGGGUAGAAUUCCACGUGUAGCAGUGAAAUGCGUAGAUAUGUGGAGGAACACCGAUGGCGAAGGCAGCCCCCUGGGUCAAGAUUGACGCUCAUGCACGAAAGCGUGGGGAGCAAACAGGAUUAGAUACCCCGGUAGUCCCAUGAU